CCGGCCGCCAGCGGCGCUCGCAAAGUUCGGAUCCGCAAGGACCGGGCCAGCGGGACGUCCGCGUGGGUGGGGUGCACUUUCUCCGCGGUCGAGUGCUACGACCGGUUUCGAGGCGGUCAGAAGCCCGGCGGAAAGGUAGCGCCGCCCCUCGGGGUGUCGUGUUAUAGGCCGCCGCGGUGGACUCGCCGCGAGACCGAGGACGCUUGCCGCGCCGAGCGGUCCCGGGCCGUCUUGGGAGGUUCGACCUCGGCUGCACUGCUCCGCAGAGCACCGUAACCGCCGCCCUAGCACGGGUCCGGAGACUGCCGGCGCCUCGGGUCAGUACCG
Molecule: ribosomal RNA, 327 nt
Filed under: Corbicula sp. LB49b
Lineage: Eukaryota; Metazoa; Mollusca; Bivalvia; Venerida; Cyrenidae
Description: partial 28S ribosomal RNA
Source: RNAcentral